UUCGUAGGGCUCUAUCUCGACGGCACCGCCCUCGUCGCCUCACUCUCGCUCCGAUUACGCUGUUGUUUCAAUCCCUACCCAUCUUCCCCAUUCGAUCUUUCUCUUUACUUGUUGUUGAUGUAUCUAUUAGUUGAUCGAUUGCUGCUUUCCGUGUUGUUACUUGAAUGAAUCCCAAGUUCUAUUGUCUGUAGCCAUAUGCAACAUGGAUCAUAACAGUAGAACAUUUGCCCCUAUUUGAUGGCCUUUGGUUUGGUUACAUGUUCCAAGGGCUUGCUUUUGCUGAAAAUUAUACAUCUUUUAUAUAUGAGAUCCUCUGUAUUAUGCUUUUGGACAUGGAAAAGGAAAUUGGUUGGGCAUGAUUUUGUGUUUGGUUGCCCAAUAAACCUAUGAGCUUCAGUUGGAAGAGCUUGGUCUGUCAAAAUCAUAUGCAAGGAAGGCAGAAGAAAACUGUGAUGAGUUUGAAAUUGUCUGAGCAUAUAAAUAAAGAAAGAGAAGCAGCAAAACGGGUGAAUCAACCAUAACACUUGGAAAAAUGCUUGUCUACAUGCUUGAUUAAUUUGUUCUUGGGUUUCUUCGGUGGGGUAUACUUAGAAAAAGAGAUAUUUCUCGUGUGUAUGUGCACAGGUGUGGAUGUGUGCAUGUCUGUCUUGUCUGCCCAUGAAUCAGGUAGGUUGUUGCUAUAUCAUCAUGCAAGAUCUAACUUGGAUUUUGUUUUGCAGUGAAAAUUUCGGAAAGAAAACUGAUAAAGAAGUACAACAAACUUGUACCUUGGCGUUUGCCCUAAAAUCUUGCAGUUUUCUUAAUUGCCUGCUUCAUUCUUCUCAAGUUCAUCACAGGCUGCUGGAAAGCUCGAAUCAUGCUUUGAAAAGAGGUGGAGACAAAAACACGACUAGAAAAUGUCACUGCAUGCCCCAUCAGAGAUCUGCCAAUAGUGCACAAGAACAAGGAUUUGUGGUUUUGCUCCAAAACAAAUGUCUCUGUUUAUUUCCCUGUCAACUGAAGAACAAAUGAAUUCUCCUCCUGUCAACUGAUGAAACAUUUUGGCUACAUGCUCUUGUGUUCAGCAAGCCUGAACUAGUGGAAGUUAUGAUCAAAGAAUAUUUGGUCAACUUGAUCA
This is a long non-coding RNA of Musa acuminata AAA Group (dessert banana), 1117 nucleotides long. RefSeq lists it as uncharacterized. The record is from RefSeq and is a predicted model, not a curated record. Lineage: Eukaryota; Viridiplantae; Streptophyta; Magnoliopsida; Zingiberales; Musaceae. The transcript has 2 exons.